Molecule: ribosomal RNA, 424 nt
Filed under: uncultured bacterium
Lineage: Bacteria
Description: partial 16S ribosomal RNA
Rfam family: Bacterial small subunit ribosomal RNA
Source: RNAcentral
AAUUUUGGACAAUGGGCGCAAGCCUGAUCCAGCCAUGCCGCGUGAGUGAAGAAGGCCUNCGGGUUNUNAAGCUCUUUCGGACGAANCGAAAUCGCGCAGGCUAAUACACUGGGCGGAGGACGGUACCGUCAUAAGAAGCACCGGCCAACUACGUGCCAGCAGACGCGGUAGUACGUAGGGUGCGAGCGUUAAUCGGAAUUACUGGGUGUAAAGCGUGCGCAGGCGGUCGAUUAAGACAGGCGUGAAAACCCCGGGCUUAACCUGGGAAAUGCGCUUGUGGCUGGUCAGCUAGAGUACGGCAGAGGGGGGUGGAAUUCCACGUGUAGCAGUGAAAUGCGUAGAGAUGUGGAGGAACACCGAUGGCGAAGGCAGCCCCCUGGGCCGAUACUGACGCUCAUGCACGAAAGCGUGGGUAGCAAACAGG